GGUCGCUGCCUCAGCAGCUGGACGCCGCCUCCUGGGUCUCAGUGCCCACCUGUUUCCCGUACAACAGUGCGUGCCUGCGGCAGUUCUUGUGAGCGGAAGAGCAAAUGCAUGUGGAUCAGGUUGAACUCCCAUGACUAUCAGUGGAAGUGCUGGACAGAGAACAAAUGCAGAAUAUGCUAUGGAUAUCUGCAGUAGAGCUCAGAUAAGAUGCUUUUAAAAGCCCAUGAUGCUUAUAUGUCUGCAUGUAAACAUAUUCAAGCCCACCUAGAACCCUAAGAAUCUCGAGUACUGCCAAGUUAAACCCCAGACUGCAUGGCUGGUUUAUAAAGAGCUCCAGGAGCUCAGCAACAACAAUACGUGAUGCAAAGGACCCAACCAGCGAACUCUGGGGAUGAUGAGGUUUCUUCCUCCCUCAAGCUAUGAAGGGAGGAAACGAGAAGGUAGCUUAUUCUUCUGGCCCAUUCCAUCCUUGGAUUUCAGUUUUGAUGGCAAUACUUAGUCACCAGAAAUCAUCACUGAGACACCAAGUCAUUUCAAAUCGUAAGCUACUGAAGAACUGUUAUAAGGUAAUGACUUUCCCUCACUAACAACUCGCCUGGCUUCACUCCGAUGAACUAGAAUGAAAGGCGCUGAGAUUUAUCAGCACCAAGCGCAAGCCAUUUGUGGGAGCAGUUGUUGUGAUGUAAGGAUGUGGGGGAGGUGACAGAGACCAAAAGCCAUCUUCCAUUUGGUAAGGCAGGGCUUUGAAUUCUAGGGCGGGAGAUAGGACGGUGGCAGGUGGCAGCUUACAGCAGAAUCUCUUUUCUGGGGUAUAUAGUGCCUGAAUUAAAAUAACUGUUAAAUAAAAGCUCUCAAUGCCUUACUAAGAACACUGCCACAUCAUUCAGUACCCUGCUCCAUAAUAUGUCUCAGAUUUAUUUUAUUGCCAUAAAAGCACAGGGCAAACCUAGAUCCUGUGUGAGCCACAUGAAGACCCUGUCUGAUACACAUAGUGACCCUGUGCCUCCUAUCUGACUCCCAGCCUCCUGUGGUUCU
Molecule: long non-coding RNA, 1035 nt
Organism: Trachemys scripta elegans
Lineage: Eukaryota; Metazoa; Chordata; Testudines; Emydidae
Exons: 5
Source: RefSeq, a predicted model, not a curated record